Molecule: long non-coding RNA, 1361 nt
Organism: Pomacea canaliculata
Lineage: Eukaryota; Metazoa; Mollusca; Gastropoda; Architaenioglossa; Ampullariidae
Exons: 3
Source: RefSeq, a predicted model, not a curated record
CUUCCGGUGUGGAAGGUACUGGAAUCUUUGAGUGUUUGUUGGUGUAGCGAACGUAGAGAGUGCUGUGUAGGGGUCAAGUAUCCACGCAGGGUGGCCUCCCUUCAUCGGGAUGUGGCGAGAGUUUAGCGAGAUGUCAAAAACUCCUGCCCAAACAAACAUGAGAAUGGAUACGUUCUUCCGCCGCCCAUGUGCAUACCCGUCGCGAAGGAAACUCGUCACAGCUUUCACAGCUGUCACAGCUGUCUGUAUUGUGAUUGUAACAAGGACUCUCUCUCUCUCGCUCGCUCGCAACAUCCCACCUUUCGUCUGAGUUUGCUUCUGUAUACGUGAGGGCGCUGAUAUUUUCAUAUUGCAAGUACAGCACGACUUGAAUGCACUAAUGAUGUGUGUGUUUACAAACCGCCGCCCUAAACAAAGCUGUUUGUGUUCAGUGGACGAUCUUAAAUAUAUACAGAAGCUGUGUGGAUGUUCUCAGAUCAAAUACUUUGUUUCGCAGCUGAAUGACAUUAAGAUGAUUCGAAACAAGAGUGAACAGACAUGUGUCCCCUCGCAUACCCAUGUGGUGGUAACCAAGCUGCAGGAUUCGAAAACUUUAUCUUCAAAUGUGUCUGCGAAAGCACAGACUCUUCGUCCGAUCACAGAUGUACGUCUUCCUGCCAUCGGGGGAGCGAGGAAACUAUAAUUAAUUUUCCACUUAGAGCAAACACCCUUCGGCGGCUAUUAGCCAUCUCAUUUCAGCUGUCCCUGGAGGACAAAUUAUGUCUGCUUACGAAAGGGCGCUUGGUUUGCGGGCUGUGAUGCUCAAUGUUGAAAUGUUUUCUGUUGGUUAAGGCCAAAGCUGGAAAAGAUAUUCCUUUCCAGUCGAACUCUGGAUUACUUCAUGUCAACUCUAUCGAAAACAAAAAAAAAUAUGUUUAGCUAUCAAAAACAUAUGACAUGGAUAAGUAAGCAAAUGAUUGUGAGUGUGUAAGUGAGUGCGGACGGAGUUUGUCAGUUAAGAUUAGUAAGUGUUUCUGGAAUCGUCUGCAAAGUUUUUUGCUUGUUAUUAAUUUUAUCGAAAUGAUAGUCCUUGAAUUUAACUUUAUUUUAGUUUUUUUACCCUGCUACACGUUGGCCCAUAAGAAUAAAAGUCAACUUAAGAAAAAAUGUUUUCUGUAACAAAACGGGUAGCAGGUUAUCAGAAGCACAUUUUUGCGUUGACAUCUCGCCAUGUGCUGUGCUGCAGGCCUCGGCACUAGACGCAAUGGCGUUCUUUCCUUGACUCCGCCUUGUUUCUCAGUCUCGCCCAAACACGCGCCACCCCGUUUGCCAUUGUUUUCAAUUUUGACUUCCCCAACUUUUAAAAAAAUGUUUCUGCUUGC